GACGAACGCUGGCGGCGUGCUUAACACAUGCAAGUCGAGCGGUAAGGCCCUUUCGGGGGUACACGAGCGGCGAACGGGUGAGUAACACGUGGGUGACCUGCCCUCAGCUCUGGGAUAAGCCUGGGAAACUGGGUCUAAUACUGGAUAUGACUCCACGGUGCAUGUCGUGGGGUGGAAAGCCUUGUGCGGCUGAGGAUGGGCCCGCGGCCUAUCAGCUUGUUGGUGGGGUGANGGCCUACCAAGGCGACGACGGGUAGCCGGCCUGAGAGGGCGACCGGCCACACUGGGACUGAGACACGGCCCAGACUCCUACGGGAGGCAGCAGUGGGGAAUCUUGCGCAAUGGGCGAAAGCCUGACGCAGCGACGCCGCGUGAGGGAUGACGGCCUCGGU
This 392-nucleotide ribosomal RNA is filed under the name uncultured bacterium. Its description in RNAcentral is "bacterial SSU rRNA". It matches the Rfam family "Bacterial small subunit ribosomal RNA", at positions 28 to 423 of the family's 1533-position model. The record is from RNAcentral.